AACCCUGAAUCUUCUAUAUUUUGUUAUCUCUUAGCAUAAACCCCGCUUCCUAUAUACCCACACACCCCUCUGCCUCAUCUAACCAGACACUGGCAGCAACGAAUCUUCUCCCGCAUCCCUGAGGGGAGAGUAUUCACGGUCGUGUUGAGCUGUAGCAGGCAGAGGCUCCCGGAACCCAGCUGGGAGACAGGUGCUGACUGUCCAGGCAAGUUUUGAAGACUCUAGAUGAAAGGCGUUACUAUCACAGGGCAAAGUGAACUCUGUGUGAUCCAAGCAGCAAGACAGCAUUUGUGAAAACCUGACCAUGAAGCAGAAAAGUAAAAUACAGGAGGCACCUAAGGGCUUGGAUGAAGUUUCUUUGGAGUUAAUCCCACUUUGGCGUAAAUCAUGUAGAUAAUCUCACUUGGAUAGUUAGAUGUUAGCCAUAGCAAAACAAAGAACUAAAUGCAACUAAAAGGAGCUUUUGUGUUGGAACCAUGAAGCAAAGAAGUGAAUUUGCUUUUCCACCCUGAAAACUCUGUAAUAAGCGCCAUAGCUGCAUUUUUGUGACUUAAUUUUCUGGUCAGUGGCCAGUUCUCCAGCCUCGGUGAUAUCUGAUCCCUAAUGAAAUCUGAAUCCGAAGGAGAAUCUGCAUAAUGAAAUUACACUGAACAAGCCACUUUCCAGCCUGUGCUGGUGACCUCCAGGACAAAAAGCCUUUCCAUUUCCUGGAGAGCAAAUUGCCUGCCUCCUCAAUGACGAAGGCCUAAUCAGCCCCACGGUUAUUCAGCAGGGCUCUGAGUGUGAAGCAGC
Molecule: long non-coding RNA, 792 nt
Organism: Hyaena hyaena (striped hyena)
Lineage: Eukaryota; Metazoa; Chordata; Mammalia; Carnivora; Hyaenidae
Exons: 3
Source: RefSeq, a predicted model, not a curated record